CGGGCAUCUAGCAUUCUAGCCACAAUGGUUGGCCAUACAAUUGAGAUUCAUAAUGAAAAAGAGCAUAUACAUAUUUACAUACCAAAUCCUAUGGUAGGUCGCAAAUUGAGGGUAUUCGUGCAUACUCAGCAUUUCACGAGUUAUGAAAAGCAAGAAAGGAUAGUAAAUCUCCUCGUUGACUGA
This 183-nucleotide ribosomal RNA is filed under the name Triticum aestivum (bread wheat). RNAcentral's name for it is "partial small subunit ribosomal RNA". Lineage: Eukaryota; Viridiplantae; Streptophyta; Magnoliopsida; Poales; Poaceae. The record is from RNAcentral.